RNAcentral lists this ribosomal RNA (492 nucleotides) under uncultured bacterium. RNAcentral's name for it is "partial 16S ribosomal RNA". It matches the Rfam family "Bacterial small subunit ribosomal RNA", at positions 29 to 507 of the family's 1533-position model. The record is from RNAcentral.
AGUGAACGCUGGCGGUAGGCCUAACACAUGCAAGUCGAACGGCAGCACAGUAAGAGCUUGCUCUUACGGGUGGCGAGUGGCGGACGGGUGAGGAAUACAUCGGAAUCUACUUUUUCGUGGGGGAUAACGUAGGGAAACUUACGCUAAUACCGCAUACGACCUACGGGUGAAAGCAGGGGAUCUUCGGACCUUGCGCGAUUGAAUGAGCCGAUGUCGGAUUAGCUAGUUGGCGGGGUAAAGGCCCACCAAGGCGACGAUCCGUAGCUGGUCUGAGAGGAUGAUCAGCCACACUGGCACUUAGACACGGUCCAGACUCCUACGGGAGGCAGCAGUGUGGAAUAUUGGACAAUGGGCGCAAGCCUGAUCCAGCCAUACCGCGUGGGUGAAGAAGGCCUUCGGGUUGUAAAGCCCUUUUGUUGGGAAAGAAAAGCAGCAGGUUAAUACCCCGCUGUUCUGACGGUACCCAAAGAAUAAGCACCGGCUAACUUCGUG